CCAGAGACUCUUCCCAACCACGCACACAUAAACCAACACAGCCUUAGGCACAACAUCCACCACAACACAAACUAGACAAUUGUUUCUUGUUGUCUCCAGUGCCGGAGGAGAUGGAAGCGGCGAUUGGCCUGGCAAGCGGGCUCAUCGACAGCAUACUGACUCUGCUUUCCAAUGAGCUCGUCGGGGCGUAUGUUGCUAGCACUGAGCUCGGCCUCAACUCCAAGCAGAUAAAGCGUGAUCUAAUGUUCACGCAAGGUCUGUUGCAUGAGGCCCAGAGGAGUGGCGUGGGAGACAACCACGCUCUGCAAGGGUUAAUCCAGGAGCUCAGCGCCAAGGCCGAUAAGGCCGAGGACGCACUAGAUGAGCUCCACUAUUUCAUCAUCCAGGAUGAUCUUGAUGGCACAAAGGAUGCGGUGCCAGAUUUGGGUGAUGACCUUCAGGGUCAUGCUCGCCAUGGUCGCCAUGCUCUUAGCCACACUAUUGGUAACUGCUUUGCAUGGUUUUCUUGUUCGCAUAUGCAUGGUGAUGAUGUUACUAAUAAUCCACAUGAUGCAACAAAUCCUAGUAGUGAUGGUCCAAUUGAUAGGCUACCAUUUCAUAGAGUGGACAUGUCCAAGAAAAUCAAGUCAGUGAUUCAGGAGAUACACUCUUUAUGUGGACCCGUGUCCGAAUUGCUCAAGAUAAUUCAGCGCGGUAGCAACAACACUCCAAUUUUCACCCUAAAACGACCUCUUAUAGGAUCAACCAGUGUACAAGAUACAUUGUUUGGAAGGAGAAAUCUUUUUGAGCAAACUAUAAAAGGUAUCAUCACAAAUAUUAGUGAGACCCUUUCUGUUAUUCCUAUAGUUGGUCCGGGGGGUAUUGGAAAGACAACCUUCACCCAACACCUAUACAAUGAUGAAAGGACUCAAGAGCACUUUCCUAUUAGGGUUUGGGUCUGUGUAUCAAGUGAUUUUGAUGUGCUUAAGGUUAGCCAAGAGAUUCUUAGUGGCAUAGAAAGAAACAAAACCGCAAAUCAAUCAACAAGUUUAGAUCAGCUCCAAAUAUCCAUCACGCAGGGGCUCAAGACUAAAAGGUUUUUAAUUGUCUUGGAUGAUAUAUGGGAAUGCAAUAGCCAAGGUUGGGAAAGCCUGCUAGCUCCACUCAUGAAGGGCGAAGCCAAGGGUAGCAUGGUUCUUGUCACGACUCGGUUCCCAUCUAAAGCUGCUAUUGUUAAAACAACUUACCCAAUAGCAUUGAAAGGCCUUGGGCCCGUUGAGUUCUUCACAUUCUUUGAAUCAUUUAUAUUUGGUGGACAAAAACCUGAGGGUUACCAUGAUGACUUGACUCAUAUUGCAAGAGAUAUUGCCAGGAAGUUGAAGGGUUCACCUCUGGCAGCCAAAACAGUUGGUCGGAUAUUGAAGAAGGAUCUAUCUCGGGAAUAUUGGAUGAGAGUUCUUGAAAACAAUGAAUGGCAAAAAGAAAAAAAUGAUGAUGACAUUUUGCCAUCUCUAAGAAUUAGCUAUGAUUACCUUCCUUUCCAUCUGAAAAAAUGCUUCCCAUAUUUUGCCUUGUUCCCUGAAGAUCAUAGGUUUAAGAACAUAGAGAUUACAUAUUUUUGGAUUGCAAUAGGAAUCAUAGACAAAGAUGAGAAUUACAUGGACGAACUAGUCGAUAAUGGUUUUCUUGUGAAGGUGAAUGAUGAUAGAGAGGGUGAAUACUAUGUUUUGCAUGACCUAUUGCAUGAACUAGCACGAAAUAUUUCAUUAAAAGAAUGCCUCAAUAUAUAUAGCAGGGCAAGUUUUAGAGUUGAUUCCAUCCCAAAAUCUAUUCGUCACUUGUCCAUCACCAUGAAAAACAAAUAUGAUGGGAACUUCACAGAAGAAAUUAUAAAAUUUAAGAGAAAGGUAGACUUUGUAAAUUUGCGGACUUUGAUGAUUUUUAGAGGACAUGCUGGAACUAUUGAUGAUAUUUUGAAAGAUAUUUUUAAGGACAUAAAAGGUCUUCGUGUCUUAUAUAUAGAAGUCGAGUCCCCGGAAUAUUUACCACACAACCUUUCAAAUUUCAUCCACCUCCAAUACCUAAAAAUUACUAGAUAUAACACUAGCUCACAGCUGACUUUACCUAGCAUGUUAUCCAGAUUUUAUCACUUGAAAUUUUUGGACCUAAGUAGUUGGUAUGGUAGUGAUAAAUUGCCUAAGGACAUUAGCCACCUUAUCAAUUUAUGCCAUCUAUUGGUAACAAAUGAACUCGAUUCUAAUAUUCCCGAGGUUGGAAAGAUGAAGUCUUUAAAAGGGCUUACAAAAUUCCAUGUCAAGAAAGAGAGUGUUGGGUUUGAAUUGAGUGAGUUGGAGGAGUUAACCGAGCUUGGAGGAGAACUCAGUAUAUAUAAUCUUAGAAAUGUGGCAACCAAAGAAGAGGCUACCAAAGCCAAACUAGUGUCAAAAGGCGGUUUGAAAAAGUUGGAGUUACAUUGGGGCACAGAAUACAAUUGGGGGGAACCUGAAGUCCAUGAUGAUAGUCCAGAAUUAUCACAUGUUAUUGAAGGUUUCAAACCACACCCUGAACUUCAAUCACUCGUCAUUAAAAAUCACGGUGGUUCAACCGGUCCUAGUUGGUUGUGUGGUUCCAUUAGUGUACUAAUGCUGACCGCUCUCCACCUGGAGGGUGUCUGUUGGACAAUUCUUCCACCCCUUGGGCAGUUGUUGCAUCUCACAUCGCUCAAGUUGAUAAAAAUUCCUGGAUUUGGUCAGAUCAGACCUGGCUUUGGCGGUGUUACAGAUAGAAGUUUUUUGCAGUUGAAGGAGGUUGUCCUUGGUCAGUUGCCAGAAUUUACAGAGUGGGUUGGGUCGUCUAAUGCCCAUUGCUUUUCAAGGCUUGAAUACCUCAGUUGCACGCAAUGCCCCAAUCUUCAUGAGUUAUACUUCAUGCAGGAGGGCUCUGGUUCUCAUACCAGUCUAUUGACACUAAUGAUUCGGGACUGCCCUAAGUUGGUCCAGCCUCCCAUGCCUCGGACUUCCACGGUAUCUCAUAUUGAUGUGUCUGCUGGUUCUUCGGGCAGCAUGGAUCAUCCUGAACGAGAUUUGUCUUUGACGGGGUAUAGCGGUGGAUUUCAAGCUGGAUCAAAAUUCACAUGGGCGCAACUCCCAAAGCUAACCUCCCUAAGGACACUUUGGAUUACAGAAGAUCCAAGCUUUACGUCAAUUACCCUGCUCUCCAACCUCACAUCUCUCACUGAUCUAAACCUAACGAAUUGCGAGAAUUUGACGGUGGAUGGGUUUAAUCCACUCAUUGCAGCUGUCAACCUCGAGCUACUCAGGGUCCGCAACGGUGGAGAUCGCCCUCGCUCUGUAGCCGCGGAUCUGCUCUCCGAGUUGGUGGUGGCAAGCAUGACCAAACAAUUGUUGCCUUCUGCGGGCUGCUUUCGACUGGGGACGCUUGACGUGGAUAACAUCUCAUCAGUGCUUGUUACUCCCGUAUGCACUCUCCUCGCCAAUACCCUCCACACAUUAUAUAUCAGCUGUGAUAAGCGGGCGGAGAGCUUUACGGAAGAGGAAGAGAAUGCGCUUCAGCUCCUCACCUCCCUCCGAUUCCUAACAUUCUGGCGUUGCCCGAGGCUGCGAUCGCUCCCUCGGCGGUUACACAGGCUUUCUUCGCUCCGGUACCUACAUGUCGGCUAUUGUCCUGAAAUCCGAUCACUGCCCAAGGAGGGGCUCCCCACUUCUAUGGGGAUGCUAACAGUAACCAGGUGCGCUCCCGAGCUGCAUGAGCAAUUCAAGGAAUUACAAGGAACAAACCCACGUUUAAACGUGACGUCAAAUUUGUAACCCGAGCUACGUUCAACUUGCUAGCUGCAUGCAACUUGUGAUUCUUUCAGCCUAGGUACGCCUCGUAGACAUGCAUCACUAUGUAUCUGGCUGCAACAAUUCAAGUCAGAUGCAUGCGCACUUGAGUACCGAAGUAACAAAACCAAGAUCAGGAAGUACAAGACCAAUGCCCUGCUUGGCUGAAGCAGCACACCUAUUAUGGUUUUGCAUUGUAAAUUCAACACAUGAGAUGAAUGGAACAUGCAACACCAGGUGCAACCACCUAUGGAUUCAGCAAUUUGUAAGAUUAACAUGCGUAAUAUUGGAUGGAACAGGGUACUGUCAGUACCUUUUAACAAGCCGGCAACAAGAUAUUCAGGAUAACCGUUUGAAGCUUACAACGGCAUCAUGUUUCUCGUAAAUGCUUCUAGUAAGCUUUUGUUUCACGAGAUUAACAAUUCAGAUGGAAGAGCAAUUUACCGUUACACACAAUAUUGCAACAGGUUGAUCAUUUGCUCACCAGCUCCCUACUACACCUUGAUAAGAUUGCAUAUAUGAUGAUAUAUGUUUCAUUGGGCUCAUCCUUCAUAGCUUCGUUUCCCGUCUACACCUAUUGAUCGACUCAAAAACUAUUACAGACGAAGAUGAAUUUUGCAGUUGGCAAUCUGGACUUCACUGUUCCAUGUAAACAGUGGAACCAUAGCGUUAACAGAACAACCGAAGCUUCUGUUUUUUAUCUCAGUGCGGUGUUUCUUUCUCUUUACAUUAUGCAAGUUCCCUUUACCUUGCUCAAUAGAUUGCCUGACCUUAGAUUCAGUAUUUGGAUUCUGCUGACAAUUUACAGCCACCGGUGAAUUCAGAAGUUGGUUGUUGGUCCGGACAAUAAAAGCAACAAGUGUGCCUCUGUCUGACGGAGUGCUCCGCUGUUCUUUUUUUUUUACAAGAAAAGGGCUCUUGCCCCGGUUCCAUUUCCAUCAGAAAAUGAAACCACAGUACAUGUAUCACCUAGAAGCAAAGACUGUGAAACUGGAACCUUAACCGAGAGGACUCCUUCCAACUAACAGCUGGUGUAUUUUAUUUUGUAAUGCUCUUGGUCGUCAGUUCAUGGUACCACCAGCUGCCAACCGCAUCUUGUGCAGAUUGCAUAUACGAACCAUGACAGCCAACCGUCAGUUUUGCCGUUGGAAUUCAGAACGCUGUCCCGAAUUAGCCGCACAGUUUUGCAUAGACCAUCUAUCAGAAAAGGCUAUUCACUAAUGCGUGCGUUGGCUUCCCAGUGACUGCACAUCCUGUGUUUCAGUUUCACAAUGCUAACAAUUUAGGUGGAGAGCAUCUCAUCUUCUGGUUGAUUAUUGGCUCACACAGUUCAUGCUACCCCGAACAGCCGACUACAUCCUCAUCCUGUGCGGUCUUGAUAUAUGGUGAUGUUUCACUGUCAACCUUCAGAGUAUCAGUUCCAAUGUAGCAGGUUCACCUGGUGACCAACGACUGAAAAACAAUUCACAUCCAACAGUGAAUUUUUACCGUUGGUUGGUAUUUAGAAGCAACCACGUGGCAGUGAGCCUCUGUCAUGGUGUCUUGAUGGAGAUCUUCGCAGUUGUGCAUAAUCGACCAUUUCAGAGGCCUGCUCCCCCUCCCAGUCGACGAGCUACAAAUCCUGAUGAUUCAAGACAGGAUAGCAGUUCAGUGCCUCGUCCACUAGCUCCUGCCCCGGCGUCAUCUCCUCUGCUCUGGGCUCUGGCCACAUUUGGCGCUGAGGCCGCACACGUUCUCUAUCUUCCUCCUCCUCCUCCAAUUCUGUUAUCCUCCCUCUUUGUUAGUGUACAAAGUUACAUAUGGAGUUUGUUACCUUGUGAAGCCCCACCUUGCUCUUUCAUAAAUGCCUAUCUACGGUCCUCCUUGGCUCCUCCUCCCACCGCCCAUGCAUCACCCCAGCCCAGAUCGACCCACGGGAUCAGCAUGGCCACAAAUUGGAAAGAUGAUGCAGGUUUCUGCAGUGUCGAUCAGUAGUAAUACCGACUCUUCCCUACUUUUGUUUGUUGUUCAUACAUGUAAUUACCACUUCAACAAAGUGCACGUAUUUAUUUGUAGGAUUGUGUUUCGUGUAUGCAUGAUAAAGCAUAAUUUCUGAAAACUGUAAUGUUGAGUGUGCCUGACUGAGAAAAGAAAAUAACAUUUGGCAUAA
RNA transcript from Triticum dicoccoides, 5970 nucleotides. RefSeq lists it as uncharacterized. The transcript has 13 exons. The record is from RefSeq and is a predicted model, not a curated record. NCBI's taxonomy places the organism in Eukaryota, Viridiplantae, Streptophyta, Magnoliopsida, Poales, Poaceae.